GGACCAAAGUGAAAAAUAGUCAUUCCCAAGGACACAAACGGCGCCGUUUUGAAGAGCUGUUCAUUAUCCUUUUCAUUUCGCGCGGAGAAAGCCUAUUCAACAGGGAAAACUGCAGCAAUUCGAUCCGAUCAUGGACCACAUCUUUUGCCCACGAUCCCGCUCGUGGAUUGAUUAACAAUCCUGUAAAUGCAGGACUGUAACAGGGACUGGUUUUGGCAAGCUCUCGGGCUCUAUAAAAGGCAGAGCAGAGAACGGUAAAAAAAAGAAGAAAACAGAGGAGACACCAGGGGGACGAAAAAACGAACCAGGGGAGAAAAAAAACACAGACGAAGAAAAAAGCAAAAACAAAAAGACUGAGAGAGAGGAGACUGGUGACCGAAAAACGGGAGGAGAGGGACGAAAACCAGUUUUCAUCCCCAGAAACUAAGCAAAAAAAGAGAAAAGGUUGGCCACUGUCUUAGCCAUUUCCAACACAGGCGAAAGAAUAUACAGAAGAGAGAGAAAGAGCAGGAGAUAAGAGGAUCGGAAACAGAGGGUGAAGGGAACAAAAUCGGAGGAAGAAGGCUACGACCCGAAAUCCUCCAUCGCGUCUCUGCUUCUCUGCGCACAGGUAAGUCAGUUUUCGUUUUUUCCUCUUUGCCUCAUUUUGUGAGGAAUAUUGCACUGCGCGAAGGUAAAUUAAUUACCUUCGCACAGUACAUGCACGCGUGGAGAAUCUGGAGACACUCCACGCGUGCCUCUUGUUGGUUUGGCCCCCACCGGGUCACUGGCUUGGGCCAGUGACCGGGCCGGGCUGGCAGGGCCCAUCCCAAAAUAAAAAUAAAAAAAUAGAAAAUGUAGAAAUAAAAAUUUUGCAUGUCUUAGAAAAAAUAUAUUUUAACAAUUUAUUCACUGAUAUUAGGAUCAGGAAUAAAAAAAAAUAUACUGAUUUUUUUUAACUGGAAUUUUUACCAACGCCAGUGUUGGAAUUAUUCGUGGUGAAAUAUUUACCAACGUCAGAGUUGGAAGUAUUUGAGAUCGAAUAUUCACUGGUGCCAAAGUCAAGAAUAUUAUAAACAAAUCAUCAUAGCAUAAGCUAACAAAUGUUUAGCAAUUUAAGACAACCAGCAAUGCAGUCUGCCUCAGGCAGAACGUUUAAGGGGUGAUAAUAUCUUCUCUUUUACGUAAUCAGUCCCGUACCAUAGAAUAUCUGUUGACCAGUUAGGGUUCUUAGUGACCAUAAUACUAGAUGGCGACUCCUUAAACAAGAUAUUUUCCCUAAAAGAACAAGAUGCCAGAUAUCUGUUCUUUUUUUCAUAAUCAAGAUUAUUUUUAAGGCCGUCGCGAUGUCGGGUGUGACAAUGUGAACAGUGCCAAAAUGAAAUUCAGCUGGAACUGUUCAAGUGCCACGUGAAUGAAUUCACCUGGCACUGUUCACUUCUCAUGCAAAACUAAUACACAGACGCAAGAACAGGGAGAAAAUACUGGAGAAAAACGCAGGGUGAAAAAACAAAGAAAAAAAGAAAAAAAAUAGAGAGAGAGGGAACAAGAAAAAAGAAGUAGAACAAGAUCGGAGAAAGAAUUAGAGGACCCAGAGAACACAAAAAGAGCAAGAGAUAAACGAAAAACGGGAUAGGACAUCGUCUGGCCAGAUCGUCACCAUCGUCUUCGUCUCCAGCCUUCAGCACCAGAGCGCGCAUGCACAGAUGUGGUAGGAAGGGAGAAGCAUAUAGAUGUUGCUUUUGGCUAACCCGCAUUUGAAACGUUAAUUGUGGUGGGUCCUGCACACAGUAAAUAGCGUUUGCCAUUUUACCAAAUGUUUUGUUUCUGUGGUUUACUUCAAACACAGAAGCAACCACGGAAACAAACACGCUCUAUAUAUACUAGCUUGCUAAUUAAUGUAACCUCUCUAUAUAAAUAAAAAUCAUUAGCACUCAUCCAUUUGUCCUUGUAUCCGCUCUCUCCCAUAUCAUUCCGUAACUUGUACACACGAAAUAUAAUUGGCAGCCCUAGGAGAAAAAAAGAAAAAAACUCCAAAUAGCUUUUUUGACAGUCGUAAAAUAUUGAACUCUGAAUUCAAAUUUCCAUCUUAUAAAUAGAAUAUCAUAUAAUAUAUCACUUAAGCAGCUAAAGUCCCUAAAAAAAUUAAAGAA
Populus trichocarpa (black cottonwood) is the source of this 2132-nucleotide long non-coding RNA. RefSeq lists it as uncharacterized. NCBI's taxonomy places the organism in Eukaryota, Viridiplantae, Streptophyta, Magnoliopsida, Malpighiales, Salicaceae. The record is from RefSeq and is a predicted model, not a curated record. The transcript has 2 exons.